UUCUUUGCUGUUUGUGUUCAUUGAUGGCAUUUGGCAGUGAUGUGUUAAAUGUUAUCUUGCGUGCACCACUUGUGUUUUGCAGUACACAGGGAGACAUGCGCUCCAACGCUCGAGGUGGUGUUGUGCACCAUUCAUAUCCUGCAAGAGUAGUGGCACUGUCAUUUCCUCACACGGCGCAUCGCAUGAUGUGUGAGCUUUCCAGAGGGAAUUGUUGCAAAUCCUCCCAUGCACCUGCCAUGUACAUUGCCUCUCCUCCUCAAGAUGGCAGCAGCAGCAGUGGAGCAGUUGAAGAGGCGAAGAAAGGUGGACAUUAUAAUAGGUUGUAUGUAAAUAAAACUUAUCGAACACAA
Dermacentor andersoni is the source of this 350-nucleotide long non-coding RNA. RefSeq lists it as uncharacterized. The record is from RefSeq and is a predicted model, not a curated record. Lineage: Eukaryota; Metazoa; Arthropoda; Arachnida; Ixodida; Ixodidae.